Molecule: long non-coding RNA, 1113 nt
Filed under: Oncorhynchus kisutch (coho salmon)
Lineage: Eukaryota; Metazoa; Chordata; Actinopteri; Salmoniformes; Salmonidae
Description: lncRNA (ENSOKIG00005001359.1)
Source: RNAcentral
AUGCUUAACACCCCGGCCACCCUACAAACUAAGCUUGAUGCCCUCAAUCGCACACAAAUUAUCAAUGAACCUACCAGGUACAACCCCAAAUCAGUAAACACGGGCACCCUCAUAGAUGUCAUCCUAACUAAUUCGCCCUCCAAAUACACCUCUGCUGUUUUCAAUCAAGAUCUCAGCGAUCACUGCCUCAUUGCCUGCAUCCGUAAUGGGUCUGGGACCAAACGACCACCCCUCAUCACUGUCAAACGCUCCCUGAAACACUUCUCCGAGCAGGCCUUUCUAAUCGACCUGGCCGGGGUAUCCUGGAAUGACAUUGACCUCAUCCCGUCAGUAGAGGAUGCCUGGCUAUUCUUUAAAAGUGCCAUCCUCACCAUCUUAAAUAAGCAUCCCCCUCUAAAAAAAUGUAGAACUAGGAAUAGAUAUAGUCCUUGGUUCACGCCAGGCCUGUCUGCCCUUGACCAGCACAAAAACAUCCUGUGGCGUUCUGCAUUAGCAUUGAAUAGCCCCAGUGAUAUACAACUUUUCAGGGAAGUUAGGAACAAAUAUACACAGGCAGUUAGAAAAGCUAAGGCAAGCUUUUUCAAACAGAAAUUUGCAUCCUGUAGUACUAACUCAAAAAAGUUUUGGGACACUGUAAAGUCCAUGGAGAACAAGAGCACAUCCUCCCAGCUGCCCACUGCUCUGAGGCUAGGAAACACUGUCACCACCGAUAAAUCCACUAUAAUUGAGAAUUUCAAUAAGCAUUUCUCUACGGCUGGCCAAGUUUUCGACAUGGCUACCCCUACCCCGGUCAACUGCCCGGCACCCUCCACAGCAACCCGCCAAAGCCCCCACCAUUUCUCCUUUACCCAAAUCCAGAUAGCCGAUGUUCUGAAAGAGCUGCAAAAUCUGGACCCCUACAAAUCAGCCGGACUAGACAAUCUGGACCCUUUCUUUCUAAAAUUAUCUGCCGAAAUUGUUGCAACCCCUAUUACUGGGCUGUUCAACCUCUCUUUCGUAUCGUCUGAGAUUCCCAAAGAUUGGAAAGCUGCCGCGGUCAUCCCCCUCUUCAAAGGGGGUGACACUAGACCCAAACUGCUACAGACCUAUAUCUAUCCUACCCUGUCUUUCUAA